This 679-nucleotide ribosomal RNA is filed under the name Pseudosperma brunneosquamulosum. RNAcentral's name for it is "eukaryotic LSU rRNA". The stretch from base 281 to 434 matches the Rfam family "5.8S ribosomal RNA". Lineage: Eukaryota; Fungi; Basidiomycota; Agaricomycetes; Agaricales; Inocybaceae. The record is from RNAcentral.
CCUGCGGAGGAUCAUUAUUGAAUAAAUGUUUGAUAGGCUGUUGCUGGCUUCCCUGAAGUAUGUGCACGCUUGUCAUAUUUAUCUUUCCACCUGUGCACAUUUUGUAGACCCUAGAAGAGAUUUAAUCUUCUGUGAAGAUGAGGAUAGGAUUGCUGCGACUUUUUGAAGGGCCAGCUUUACCUUGCAUAUCUAGGCCUCUAUGUCACUUCAUGUAACUCCUAUGAAUGUAAUGGAAUGUUGAUCUGGGUCUUUGUUUUUUUGACCCUAUAAAGUUGUAUACAACUUUCAGCAACGGAUCUCUUGGCUCUCGCAUCGAUGAAGAACGCAGCGAAAUGCGAUAAGUAAUGUGAAUUGCAGAAUUCAGUGAAUCAUCGAAUCUUUGAACGCAUCUUGCGCUCCUUGGUAUUCCGAGGAGCAUGCCUGUUUGAGUGUCAUUAAAUUCUCAACUACACUGACUUUGUUUAGUGUGGCUUGGAUUUGGGUGUUUUUGCGGGCUUUGUAAAAUGAAGUCAGCUCUCCUGAAAUUUAUUAGCAGGUGGUUUACCUUGGUAGAACUGUCUACAGGUGUGAUAAUCUAUCUACGCCUUUUAGAUGUCUGCAUAGGAUACUGCUUCUAAUUUUUUAUGAUAAACUUGACCUCAAAUCAGGUAGGACUACCCGCUGAACUUAAGCAUAUCAA